Molecule: unclassified non-coding RNA, 1638 nt
Filed under: Hevea brasiliensis (rubber tree)
Lineage: Eukaryota; Viridiplantae; Streptophyta; Magnoliopsida; Malpighiales; Euphorbiaceae
Source: RNAcentral
AUUCACCUCUAUUGCAGAACUAAACACACGAUAUUUUGUGAUCAAGUUUGCUUUAAAGUGUCAUUGGUAGCACGCAGACUACAAAGUUGUUUUAAGUGUUAAUUUAUAUGCAGUAUGGAAGAACUUUAGACCAACUGCAGGAGCUGAGCCUGUUAAAAUCAACACUGGUCCAUUCUCCAUUUAUAAUCAUCGAUAAGCACUAGAAAGGGACAGCAAGCUCAGUAAACAGUACAGUACUGAGACAUCGUGCAGCAAAGUGGAGUCUGAGUUCUUUCCCUUGUGUUUCUUUUCUCUCCUCAAAUGCCUGUAUAGUUAACAAAAUGAGAACUUCGGUAAACAAAGCACAUCGAACGGCCAGACACAAUACGUACAGCACUGGGCAGGCAGCCUUCGAUGGGCACAUGUUUGUUCAAAUGGAACCCAUUUAUAUGCUCCCUAUCAAUCAGAUAGGAAAACCAAAAUCGCCAACCAUACUUUAGAUAUCAUCUCACGUUUGAGAAUAUGCUCGAGUAUGUUCAAUGGUAGGGCAAACAGAUAAAGGAAAUUUCAUAACAUUAAUCCAUAGUCAUACAUGCUUCAAGCAAUUACAAAUUCCCAAUCUGAUAUCACCUUAGAGGACCCAAAUUCACUGAAUGAGCAGUUUGUGAAAGUCUCCAACGACCUUGAGGCAAAUAAUUUGACAGUAGGCCUUUGCAUCUCUCACUGACCACCUCAAACAACAAAUGGAGUUUUCCUCAGUUUGUCAAUUUUCUUUGCCAAAAGAACAGCAGUAUCCUUUUUGCCCUUGUCAAGAAGAGCUUGUUUCAGAUUACUAAACAGAGCUGCUGAAGGCCGGAUGCCCACAUCCAACAUCUCCUCAAAGUAUUUACAAGCCAUAUCCAGUUUAUUUUCAUGGCACAAACUGUUAAUUAAUGUAGAGAACAUGUGCAUCCCAGGAAGGAUCCCCUUGGCCUUCAUCUGAUCCCAAAUAUUUAUUGCCCUAUCCACUCUAUCCAUGUUGCAAAACAUCCUAACUAUAAUCUCAUAGGUACUCACAGUUGGCUCACAACCCUCCUCGCUGCUCAUUUUCUCAAAAACUGAAAAAGCCUCAGUUGUCUUCUGAGCCUUUAUCAAAUGAUGAAGAAUUAUAUCAUAAGUUCUUGCAUUCGGACCAAUCCCACAUUUUCUCAUCUCAUCAACCAUCCUAUAAGUAUCAUCCAUCCUCAUUGACCAACAAUAAGCUCCCACAACAGCAUUGUAAGUAGGUGCCUCCGGAACAAAACCUCUAGCCUUUGAUAGCUCAAAAAACUCAAGAGCUUCACUCAACCUCUUCUCAGAACCUAAUCCAUUAAUCAAAGUACAAAAAAUGUGAGGAUUAGGCGGGCAAUUCUUUGCUUCCAUCUCGUUGAAUAAGUCAAUUGCAAUAUCAUACUUCUUAGCCUUACAAUAUGCAUUGAUGAGAAUACCGUAAGUUAUAACAUCAGGUUCAAAACCAUCAUCCUUCAUUUCCCUAUAAACCUCAUCCAGCUUCAACAAGUUUUUCUCUUGACCCCACCCUUCAAGCAAUAUCGUGUAAGACUUGAUAUCAGGCACGAAUCUUCUAUUUUUCAUUUUAUCAAACACGUCUUGUGCGCUCUGCACCUGCCUUGACUUGCUCAG